This 741-nucleotide ribosomal RNA is filed under the name uncultured rumen protozoa. RNAcentral describes it as "bacterial SSU rRNA". It matches the Rfam family "Eukaryotic small subunit ribosomal RNA", at positions 270 to 1131 of the family's 1831-position model. The record is from RNAcentral.
GUAUACGCGGCCGUGAUUCGAGCUCCCAUCUCGCGAAUGCUCUAGAUUAUUUCGUCGGUAGAUUGGACUACCAUGGCUUUCACGGGUAACAGGGAAUUAGGGUUCGAUUCUGGAGAAGGAGCCUGAGAAACGGCUACUACAUCUACGGAAGGCAGCAGGCGCGUAAAUUACCCAAUCCUGACUCAGGGAGGUGGUGACAAGAUAUAACGACGCGAUUAAUGUCGUGAUUGUAGUGAGGAUAUUCCAAAAAGAAUCACAAGAACGAUUAGAGGGCAAGUCUGGUGCCAGCAGCCGCGCGGAAAAACACGCCCGCAAUAGCGUAUAUUAAAGUUGCUGCUGUUAAAAAGCUCGUAGUUGGAUUUCCAGGAUAUACAUAUUCCUAAGGAAUGUGUACCCUACUAGCCAGUUCUGGCUGUUACUGUGAGAAAAUUAGAGUGUUUAAAGCACGCUCAUGCAAGAAUACAUUAGCAUGGAAAUAACGAAUGAGUCUAGAAUCUUGGUUUAAUUCUAGAUCUCGAUUAAUAGAGACAGUUGGGGGCAUUAGUAUUUAAUUGUCAGAGUGAAAUUCUUGGAUUUGUUAAAGACUAACUUAUGCGAAAGCAUUUGCCAGAUGUUUUCAUAUCAGACGAAGAUAGGAUCAAGACAUCAGAUACUGUCGUAGUCUAUCUAACCUUGCGAUAGGAUGAUGGACUGACAUCAGUACUUAGAAAAUCAAGUCUUGGUCUCGGGGGGAAUUGGUUG